RNAcentral lists this transfer RNA (71 nucleotides) under Camelus bactrianus (Bactrian camel). It matches the Rfam family "tRNA". Rfam says of the family: Transfer RNA (tRNA) molecules are approximately 80 nucleotides in length. Their secondary structure includes four short double-helical elements and three loops (D, anti-codon, and T loops). Lineage: Eukaryota; Metazoa; Chordata; Mammalia; Artiodactyla; Camelidae. The record is from Rfam by way of RNAcentral. RNAcentral also lists the same sequence under 1 other name.
GAGGGAGUAGCUCAGUGGUAGAGCACGUGCUCGGCACGCCCGAGGUCCUGGGUUCCAUCCCCAGUCCCUCC